UCUGGUAAUGAUGGCAGAGAGGUCACACCCGUUCCCAUACCGAACACGGAAGUUAAGCUCU
RNAcentral lists this ribosomal RNA (61 nucleotides) under Bacillus thuringiensis. The record is from RNAcentral. RNAcentral also lists the same sequence under 1 other name. Lineage: Bacteria; Bacillati; Bacillota; Bacilli; Caryophanales; Bacillaceae.